Molecule: antisense RNA, 69 nt
Filed under: Kutzneria buriramensis
Lineage: Bacteria; Bacillati; Actinomycetota; Actinomycetes; Pseudonocardiales; Pseudonocardiaceae
Description: ASpks TB sRNA
Rfam family: ASpks TB sRNA
Source: RNAcentral
CUUGAUCGACCCCAGCCACAGGGGCUCCGUGCGUUCCUGCCCGUACACCGCCAGCAGGGCCUGCGCCUC